Molecule: small nuclear RNA, 23 nt
Filed under: Arabidopsis thaliana (thale cress)
Lineage: Eukaryota; Viridiplantae; Streptophyta; Magnoliopsida; Brassicales; Brassicaceae
Description: snRNA_00439
Source: RNAcentral
CAUGUCGUUAUCAGUCAUUAACG